UCAACGGAGAGUUUGAUCCUGGCUCAGGACGAACGCUGGCGGCGUGCUUAACACAUGCAAGUCGAACGGUGACAUCGGUGCUUGCACCGGUUGAUCAGUGGCGAACGGGUGAGUAACACGUGAGUAACCUGCCCCAAACUCUGGGAUAACUCCGGGAAACCGGAGCUAAUACCGGAUACGAGACGUACGGACAUCCGUAGCGUUUGGAAAGAAUUUCGGUUUGGGAUGGACUCGCGGCCUAUCAGCUUGUUGGUGAGGUAAUGGCUCAC
Molecule: ribosomal RNA, 269 nt
Filed under: Actinomycetales bacterium
Lineage: Bacteria; Bacillati; Actinomycetota; Actinomycetes; Actinomycetales
Description: partial 16S ribosomal RNA
Rfam family: Bacterial small subunit ribosomal RNA
Source: RNAcentral